AUACGGAGGAUGCGAGCGUUAUCCGGAUUUAUUGGGUUUAAAGGGAGCGUAGGCGGGAGCUUAAGUCAGCGGUUAAAUGGUGCGGCUCAACCGUGCCCUGCCGUUGAAACUGGGUUUCUUGAGAGUGCAAGAGGCGGAUGGAAUUCAUGGUGUAGCGGUGAAAUGCUUAGAUAUCAUGAAGAACUCCGAUUGCGAAGGCAGUCCGCUGGGGCACGUCUGACGCUGAUGCUCGAAGGUGCGGGAAGCAAACAGGAUUAGAUACCCUGGUAGUCCGCACGGUAAACGAUGAUUACCCGCUGUCGGCGGCAGACAGUCGGCGGCCAAGCGAAAGCGAUAAGUAAUCCACCUGGGGAGUACGCCGGCAACGGUGAAACUCAAAUGAAUUGACGGGG
RNAcentral lists this ribosomal RNA (392 nucleotides) under uncultured bacterium. RNAcentral's name for it is "partial 16S ribosomal RNA". It matches the Rfam family "Bacterial small subunit ribosomal RNA", at positions 523 to 918 of the family's 1533-position model. The record is from RNAcentral.